GAAGGUAGGCCCUUCGGAGUCGGUUUGUAGGAACGGGCUCCAAACAGCCAUAAGCUGCUUCAGUACGAAAGGCUGCGGUGGUGAACGUUAUGGUUAAAAGCCGGGGUUAGACCUCGGCAUG
Molecule: non-coding RNA, 121 nt
Filed under: Burkholderia sp. WP9
Lineage: Bacteria; Pseudomonadati; Pseudomonadota; Betaproteobacteria; Burkholderiales; Burkholderiaceae
Source: RNAcentral